This 425-nucleotide ribosomal RNA is filed under the name uncultured bacterium. RNAcentral's name for it is "bacterial SSU rRNA". It matches the Rfam family "Bacterial small subunit ribosomal RNA", at positions 354 to 796 of the family's 1533-position model. The record is from RNAcentral.
GUGGGGAAUAUUGGACAAUGGGCGAAAGCCUGAUCCAGCAAUGCCGCGUGAGUGAUGAAGGCCUUAGGGUUGUAAAGCUCUUUUACCAGGGAUGAUAAUGACAGUACCUGGAGAAUAAGCUCCGGCUAACUCCGUGCCAGCAGCCGCGGUAAUACGGAGGGAGCUAGCGUUGUUCGGAAUUACUGGGCGUAAAGCGCACGUAGGCGGUUACUCAAGUCAGAGGUGAAAGCCCGGGGCUCAACCCCGGAACUGCCUUUGAAACUAGGUAACUGGAAUCUUGGAGAGGUCAGUGGAAUUCCGAGUGUAGAGGUGAAAUUCGUAGAUAUUCGGAAGAACACCAGUGGCGAAGGCGACUGACUGGACAAGUAUUGACGCUGAGGUGCGAAAGCGUGGGGAGCAAACAGGAUUAGAAACCCGUGUAGUCC